Molecule: long non-coding RNA, 489 nt
Organism: Rosa rugosa (rugosa rose)
Lineage: Eukaryota; Viridiplantae; Streptophyta; Magnoliopsida; Rosales; Rosaceae
Exons: 2
Source: RefSeq, a predicted model, not a curated record
UUUGGGUUGAAUUUGAGAAGUAGUGAAGAUAGGGAUUUUCGGGUUUCGUUUAGGUUCGUAAUUAUUUAUUCGAAUUGUCGUUUAUGGAAAUGUACUUGUGAACAGGACGUUGUUGCGAGCUAUGGCUAGAUGAAGGAACUCGUUUGUGUGGUCGCCAAUAGUACUUUUGCAGGCGCUAUUAGUUGAGGUCGGGCGUACAUGGUUCGAGGCAUAGUUGAUGAAUUGCUUCCGCACUUCUUUGUUUGGCUCUGACCUAUCGUGGGUUACUGUUUUGGGUAGUCCACUUUAGUGGUGACUCGACCAGUUCCCGGUAGAGUUAUCUCUAAGGUGGGCCCCGCAGGGCCACCUCGGAUUUCAGGGCGAAAUUCGGGGCGGGUCCUGUCACAAUGUAUGAUUACCUUUCCUUGUACAAAUCUGAUUCUAUGCCUUGUAAUCCUCUAUAUAAAGAGACCCUAUUAUCAAUGAAAGCACAACAAUUUCUCUCUCAAA